UUUUGAUUGGCUAAUACGAGGGUGUCAUUUUACUCUAUCACAUAGCUGAGAGGGUGACAAUUUUUUUGAAUGUUACCCUCUCGUCUAAACCAAUCAAAAAUCGACAAUUUAAAGGACAAUGGAUUGAAUUUACACCAAGUAGUUAAAUACAAUGCUUAAGUUUUACGUUUUGGAUCAAAUUUUAUUAUUUAACUGUCAAAAUAAA
RNAcentral lists this long non-coding RNA (205 nucleotides) under Mytilus galloprovincialis (Mediterranean mussel). The record is from RNAcentral. Lineage: Eukaryota; Metazoa; Mollusca; Bivalvia; Mytilida; Mytilidae.